UUUGAGGUAUCUGAGAAAUUAAAGCAUGGGUUAAAAACUGAGAUAUCUGGUUUAAAAAAUAAAAAUCAGAGAUGAUUCGAAGGGCAAAGACGGAAGGAAGUCAUUUCUCCCUCCCCCAGCAUAGCAGAUACGGGAGGGCACAGGCUCCUGCCCCCACAUCAGAACUCUGCCAUGCUCAGGCCCCCAGAGUGGAAACUGGCGGAGAAGAAGAAAAGUCUACCAACUGCACUUUGGGAUCAGAAGAGGCUCAUUCCAAGGGCGACCAGAGAGGAGAAGGGAGAGCAGCAUGCACUGAGCGCCACAGGGCAUCUGCCAUGGGCCACGCCCUCCCGCUGGGUGUUUUGUAUAGGCACAUCUCACUGACUCCUCAGACAACUCCAUGAGGUGGCAGUCAUGACCCCCCUUCACUGUGAUGAAAGAGGCUCCGAGCAAUGAAGUCACUGUCCAAGUUCACAGAGGCAGUUGGUGAUAGAGGAAGACUUGAGUUCUGAGCGAGUGUCAUUCGGAUUGAGCCGUUACUAGGUGCCAGUUGUAUACAUGAAGCAGGAAUUACUAUUCUACCGCCGUUUCUUUCCUUUUUUCUUUUUUUUUUUUUUAAUUCCCAAAGAGUUCUUCCAAUCGUCAGAUAUUUGUACAUGUGCUGCCCUGGCGGGCACUAUACCCUCAUUUUAAGACGAGGAAACAGAUUCAGACGCGAGAAGAGACCAGCCAAGGUCACUGGGGCUCAAACCGAAGUCCAGCUGGCUCCUCCGCUGCCCCGAGGACGGGCCCGGAGGUCUCCCUGGAGCGGUAGGCGGCCGGUCCCUGGCCCUCCAGCACUCCCCAUCCUCGGCCAUACACCGGGGCAGGUGACACACCACCGCCACCUGGCGGCCAAGUGGGGAAUUCUGACGCGAACACGAGAUCUUUGGGGGGAGCAGAGGAGCCAGUUUGGAUUUCAGAGUAGAUGUUACCAGGCCUCUGGCUUCCAGCCUAAGCUUCCUUGAGAUCCAGGUGCUCAUAGGGUGUCCAGACCCAGAACCACCUGCAUGGGGGACGCGGCUUUCAGUCUGGUAGGGGCGGUGGAGUGUUACAUACAAUAGUUCAGUUCCGUUCCAAACCGGGACUUUGGCAUAAAACCGACUGGGUUCCCAUGCUCUCAUAGUAUGGCUUUGAACAGGUCAUUUCCCUUUCCUCAGACUUGGUUUCACCAUCUGUAAAAGGGGGUAAUAAUAAGACCUACUUCCUAACGUUAUCAUGCAGAUGAACCAGCUGACAUGCAGAGGCCUGGCACUUAGUGGAUGCUCGAUAAAUGUCACUGUCAUCACUGUUUGCAUCAUUAUUAUCAACAUCAUUAUUACCUGCUCCUCCCUACCUGCCCCCCCAUGCAACAGUACAGCUCCACCUGGAAGCAGCCCCCCAACUUCCCCCUCCAA
Molecule: long non-coding RNA, 1415 nt
Organism: Homo sapiens (human)
Lineage: Eukaryota; Metazoa; Chordata; Mammalia; Primates; Hominidae
Exons: 2
Source: RefSeq, a predicted model, not a curated record